This 497-nucleotide ribosomal RNA is filed under the name Aleochara littoralis. Its description in RNAcentral is "partial 16S ribosomal RNA". It matches the Rfam family "Bacterial large subunit ribosomal RNA", at positions 1841 to 2597 of the family's 2925-position model. Lineage: Eukaryota; Metazoa; Arthropoda; Insecta; Coleoptera; Staphylinidae. The record is from RNAcentral.
UAAUUUAAAGUCUGACCUGCCCAAUGAUAAUUUUAAUGGCCGCAGUAUUUUGACUGUGCAAAGGUAGCAUAAUCAUUAGUUUCUUAAUUAGAAACUAGAAUGAAAGGUUGAACGAGAAAAUAACUGUCUCUUUAUAAUUUUUUUAGAAUUUUAUUUUUAAGUUAAAAAGCUUAAAUAAAUUUGAAAGACGAGAAGACCCUAUAGAGUUUAAUAUUUUAUUAAUUAAAUUUUAAAAAUAGAAUUAUAUUUAUUUUAUUAAAAAAAGUAUUUAAUUGGGGUGAUUGAAAAAUUUAAUUAACUUUUUUUUUAUUUUAACAUUUUUAUAUGAUAAAUUGAUCCAUUAUUAAUGAUUAUAAGAUUAAAUUACCUUAGGGAUAACAGCGUAAUUUUUUUUAAGAGUUCCUAUCGAUAAAAAAGUUUGCGACCUCGAUGUUGGAUUAAAAUUAAUUUUUGGUGUAGAAGCUAAAAUAUUAGGUCUGUUCGACCUUUAAAAUUUU